UACGUAGGGUGCGAGCGUUGUCCGGAUUUAUUGGGCGUAAAGAGCUCGUAGGCGGCUUGUCGCGUCGGAUGUGAAAGCCCGGGGCUUAACUCCGGGUCUGCAUUCGAUACGGGCAGGCUAGAGUGUGGUAGGGGAGAUCGGAAUUCCUGGUGUAGCGGUGAAAUGCGCAGAUAUCAGGAGGAACACCGGUGGCGAAGGCGGAUCUCUGGGCCGAUACUGACGCUGAGGAGCGAAAGCGUGGGGAGCGAACAGG
This 253-nucleotide ribosomal RNA is filed under the name uncultured bacterium. RNAcentral describes it as "partial 16S ribosomal RNA". It matches the Rfam family "Bacterial small subunit ribosomal RNA", at positions 524 to 776 of the family's 1533-position model. The record is from RNAcentral.